GAUACGGAGGACUGGCCCGGUGCUUUCGUGAAAGCGAAGCCGACAAGAGGGAAUCCGGUCACAUGCCGGAGCCGCCCCCGCGACUGUAAGCGGUGAGCGCGCAUCCAGAAAGCCACUUGGGGGGGUCCUCCUCGGGGAAGGCGGAUGUGGCGCUGCGACCCGCAAGCCAGGAGACCUGCCGGGCAUGGCACGCGAAAC
RNAcentral lists this non-coding RNA (198 nucleotides) under Palleronia abyssalis. The record is from RNAcentral. Lineage: Bacteria; Pseudomonadati; Pseudomonadota; Alphaproteobacteria; Rhodobacterales; Roseobacteraceae.